Molecule: ribosomal RNA, 790 nt
Filed under: Thranius simplex
Lineage: Eukaryota; Metazoa; Arthropoda; Insecta; Coleoptera; Cerambycidae
Description: partial 12S ribosomal RNA
Source: RNAcentral
GGUGGGGUAGUUUAUUUUAUAUCGGUGAUUAGUUAAUUUGAUUUAAAUUUGAAUUUAAAAUUUAUUUGGUGGAAUAUUAAAUUUUAAAGUUGAUUGUUAGGUGAGGCUAAAAAAUUUUUGGUUAAAACUAGGAUUAGAUACCCUAUUAUUAAAAAUGUAAAUUUGUACUAAAUUAUUUUAAGUUAUGUUCUUUAAAAUUAAAGAUUUUGGCGGUAUUUUAGUCUAUUCAGAGGAACCUGGCCUUUAAUUGAUGGUCCACGAUUGACUUUACUUUUUUUUACGGUUUACAUAUCGUCGUAAUUUGAAUGUUUUAUUUGAAUUUUAAUGUUCAAGAUUUUUUUAAGAAAAAAAAUCAGAUCAAGGUGUAGUUUAUGGAGAAGAAAGCAGCUGGGUUACGAUAAUUAUUAAAAAUUAAAUUUUAAAUGAUUUAAUAAUUAGGAUUUGAAAGUAAUUUUAAUUUAAUCAUUAAAAUGAUUUUAGCCCUAAAAUAUGCACAUAUCGCCCGUCGCUUUCGUUUUAAGAUGAAAUAAGUCGUAACAAAGUAGGCCUACUGGAAAGUGGGCCUGGAAAGCGAAUUAGAGCUUGAUAAUAAGUAUUUUAUUUACAUUAAAAUGUUAGUUGUGAAAUUCAACUUGAUUUGAAAUUGGAUUUUUUAUUAAAAAUUUUAAUUUUAUGUUUUUUAAUUUAAGUAUAAUUUAUUUUAUUAUGUUUAAGAAAUAAUUAUUUUAAUUAUAGUGAAUUAGUACUGUAAGGGAAUUUGCAAUAAUUAAAUUAAGAAAAAUUGAUUUUU